CCUACGGGAGGCAGCAGUGAGGAAUAUUGGUCAAUGGCCGAGAGGCUGAACCAGCCAAGUCGCGUGAAGGAAGACGGCCCUACGGGUUGUAAACCUCUGUUGUGGGGGAGCAAAGCGAGUCACGUGGGACGCAUUGAGAGUACCCGAAGAAAAAGCAUCGGCUAACUCCGUGCCAGCAGCCGCGGUAAUACGGAGGAUGCGAGCGUUAUCCGGAUUUCUUGGGUUUAAAGGGUGCGCAGGCGGAGGUGCAAGUCAGCGGUCAAAUUGCGGGGCUCAACCCCGUACUGCCGUUGAAACUGCAUCCCUUGAGUGCGCGAGAAGUAUGCGGAAUGCGUGGUGUAGCGGUGAAAUGCAUAGAUAUCACGCAGAACUCCGAUUGCGACGGCAGCAUACCGGCGCGCAACUGACGCUCAUGCACGAAAGCGUGGGUAUCGAACAGGAUUAGAUACCCUUGUAGUC
RNAcentral lists this ribosomal RNA (459 nucleotides) under uncultured bacterium. Its description in RNAcentral is "partial 16S ribosomal RNA". It matches the Rfam family "Bacterial small subunit ribosomal RNA", at positions 338 to 795 of the family's 1533-position model. The record is from RNAcentral.